Long non-coding RNA from Pteropus alecto (black flying fox), 2095 nucleotides. RefSeq lists it as uncharacterized. The transcript has 3 exons. NCBI's taxonomy places the organism in Eukaryota, Metazoa, Chordata, Mammalia, Chiroptera, Pteropodidae. The record is from RefSeq and is a predicted model, not a curated record.
UCCCGUGGCGGUCGGGCCCUUGCGGUGCUGCGUUGAGAGUGAAGGGUCUCUGGGGGUGGUGACUCGCCUGUGUGAUUUCCCAACGCCUGUAUCCCCGAGGCCUUCUGGCCGGGAUCCCCACUUCGGACGCUGCGGCCCCGCCUGUCUCUUGCCGGUCCACCCCCUCCCCCAGGUCGGGAUUCGACCAUCUCCUGUCCCCCGCCUCCAGCUGGGUACGUCCGGGAGGCUCCCACUCUGCCCUAGAACCUCCAUCUGAUAGGUGACACACUCUCCAUCCAGGGGCACCCCAGGGGUCCGCGUGCUGUCCUCCGGGCGCAUUUACUGUCCCCUCGUCCUACGGUUAUUUACAGCCCGACUACUCUGUGCGCCAAGCCCUGUGCGACGUGGAGGAAGACAAUGGUGGACGAGGCAGAGCAGACCCAGCCCCUGCCUUUCCUGAGCUCACAGUGCAGUGGGAGAGUCGGGCCUGUCACCGUGACAGGUCGAGUCGUGGUCAGGCGGGGACGGAGGCACAGCAGUGGCUCUGCGAGCCCGCAGGAGGCUCCUGACCCAGCCCGGGGUCCAUGAAGCACAUCUGUCGCUGGUCUUCCAUCAUCAGAAGGUGACCCCCCACCCCCCAGGACUGGGUGACUGUAAAUCACCCAGGGGGAGAGAUGGUCCAGGAUGACUUUACGUCCUGGACCAUCCUGUGGCGGCCCCGGGCAGAAGGUGGUGGUACCCUCAGGAGACAGGAAACAGCUGGGCAAGAACAGGUUUGUGCCUGAGGAGCAGGGGCUUCCGGUCAGUUCCGGACUGGGAUCUGAGAGCAGGUCCAGCAGGGUUCCUGGGGGGAGAGCGGGGGAGGGGGACUUUGGAGGACCAGCCUGGUUUACAUCAUCAUGCAGAGUCACAAGGAGAAUGAGCUGGGUGGGACCUGAGGAGGACUCUGUGAAAGAGACUUGAGGAGACUCAGCAGAGAAAGAAAAAAACGAAACAGCACAGAGGACGGAUCAAGUAAAAAGAUGGACAGAAAGCAUUUUAAAAGGGCUUGUUUAGCUGGGACAGGUUUGCCUCAUGGUCACGGAGGAUGGAUCCUAAGGUCGGCCUGCUGAGCCCAGUGACAGGGAAGAGUGAGCUGGGCAGGGGGAGGAGCCCGUGCCAACACCUGGAGAUGGAAGUGUGCCCCGGGUGUGAGGAGAGGCCGGCCAGCGUGGCUGAGGGAGCGUGGGCCAUGAGGUCAGGAGAAAAGGGAGCCAGAGCGCCCCCUCGCCUGUCCGCCCCCGCCCCAGGACCCAGCCCAUGGCCGUGACCGACUUUGCACUGACUGUGCCAAGAGGGCAGUCAGUGCCAACGCCAGCUUCCUGGAGGAGUACCAGGUGUGCCUCGGCCGGCUGGGUGGCCAGCAGCGCGGCCUGCCCCUCUCCACUCACUCCCGGCCCCUCUCCCAGCUCCCGCUCCAGGCCAUCCCGGCGGAGGCUGGCUCUGGGGCGCCCCCUCCUGGCUGCAAGCUGGACAGCACGGCCUGUGAGUGCUGGGCUGCGGUGCGUGGGUGGGGGCCCUGUGGCCUAGCCGGGACCAUUGGCCGCCUCACCCUCCCGUCGUCCUCCCUCAGAUGACCGCUCAACAGCGUAGUUUUCUCUGGAAAACGAAGGGAGCCCCCCCUGAUGAGAUGCCCAAAGCCUGGCUCUUCCCCGCGUGACGGCCCCGUGGCCCCGGAGCUGGGUGGGCGGGGUCACUCAGUGUCCAGGGCCAAAGCGCUGUGCUCUGCAGGGCGGGCUUUUGGGCCACGACCACGUGGUGCUGAUGGGCGCCGCCCGGCCCCAGGAGCUCUGGCAGCUGGUGUGGGAGCACCGGGCCCAGGUGCUGGGCUCCCUGUGCCCCUCGGACACCCACGACGAGGACUUCUGGCCCACGGAGCUGCAGCCCAUUGUCACGGGCCCGGUGACAGCGCGCUGGGAGGCCGAGAGCGACGCAGCGGGCUGGCCCUGCACCCUGCUCAGGGUCACACAGGUGGGUGGGGGCCACGGGCAGUGGGACGUGCAGGGAAGGGUCCGUGCCUGCUCUGGCUCCGACGCUACAGCUCUGUCCCCAGGGGGACAGCGGGAAGGAGAGGCAG